AACGCACCUUGCGCCCCUUGGCAUUCCGAGGGGCACACCCGUUUGAGUGUCGUGAAAUCCUCAACCUUCUCUGCUUCUUUUUGAUCGGGGAAAGGCUUGGACUUUGGAGGCUUCUGCUGGCAUCUCAUGAAGCCAGCUCCUCUUAAAUGCAUUAGCGGGGGGUUUCCUUUUGUCAAUCCUCGACGUGAUAAAGUUUUUCUACGUCUAGGUCUUGACUUUAAGACCCGCUUCUAAUGGUCUCGUUGAGACGCUUGGUCGAGUUUUGCCCCUCAGUUGGGGUGGGACUUUGGCCCAUAUGAACCAUUUGACCUCAAAUCGGGUGAGACUACCCGCUGAACUUAA
This 342-nucleotide unclassified non-coding RNA is filed under the name uncultured Lactarius. Its description in RNAcentral is "sequence contains ITS2". The record is from RNAcentral. Lineage: Eukaryota; Fungi; Basidiomycota; Agaricomycetes; Russulales; Russulaceae.